RNAcentral lists this long non-coding RNA (231 nucleotides) under Homo sapiens (human). RNAcentral describes it as "LHRI_LNC977.1". The record is from RNAcentral. Lineage: Eukaryota; Metazoa; Chordata; Mammalia; Primates; Hominidae.
AGUGAUGGGGUCCACUGCAACCUCCACCUCCCAGGUUCAGGUGAUUCUCCUGCCUCAGCCUCCCGAGUAGGUGAGACUACAGGUACACGCCACUACUGCCCAGCUAAUUUUUGUAUUUUUGAUAGAGUCAGAGUUUCACCAUGUUGACCAGGCUGGUCUCGAACUCCAGACUUCGGGUGAUUUGCCUGCUUUAGCUUCCCAAAGUGCUGGGAUUACAAGCAUGAGCCACCA